This 128-nucleotide ribosomal RNA is filed under the name Microchirus variegatus (thickback sole). Its description in RNAcentral is "partial 28S ribosomal RNA". The record is from RNAcentral. Lineage: Eukaryota; Metazoa; Chordata; Actinopteri; Pleuronectiformes; Soleidae.
GGGAUCCCGGCCUCCUCUCGAGGGGCUCCGGGCGCACCACCGGCCCGUCUCGCCCGCACCGUCGGGGAGGUGGAGCGUGAGCGCGCGCGAUAGGACCCGAAAGAUGGUGAACUAUGCCUGGGCAGGGC